Molecule: ribosomal RNA, 658 nt
Filed under: Pseudosperma squamatum
Lineage: Eukaryota; Fungi; Basidiomycota; Agaricomycetes; Agaricales; Inocybaceae
Description: partial small subunit ribosomal RNA
Rfam family: Bacterial small subunit ribosomal RNA
Source: RNAcentral
CAGAUAUAGUCAUGCUCGCAGAGUGACUAGCUACUGAAAUCACACAAACACAAAUGGUGCUUAUUGUGAUAACGUAAGGGAAAAAAAUGAUAUCACCUUACUAAUAGUGUUGUCUAAAUAACUGGUGCCAGAAGACUCGGUAACACCAGAAACGCGAACGUUAGUCGUCUUAAACAGGCGUAAAGGGUAAGUAGGCUGCUUUAAACGUCUUUUUUUAAAAAAAGCUAAUUAAUAAUUUAACCUAAAAUUUUUCAGACCUUAAUUUAUAAAUUAAGGCUAACUAAUAAUGAAAAAAGGUAAUUAUUAGUUUUUCUAAUAAUUAUAAUUAUUAAAUUAAAAAAAUAGAUACACUUAAAGCUAGAAUCAUAAUUGAGAUAAACCAAAUAAUACUUAUGUGUAAGGGCGAUAUCUGAAAAUACUAAGUAGAAUACUAACGGUGAAAACUUUUUAUCUAGUAAUGAUUGACGCUGAGGUACGAAAGUGAGAACAGGGAAUAGGAUUAGAUACCCAGUUACCUCUCACCGUCAACGAUGAAUGGUAGUUGUUAGUUUAAUUAAAUUAGUGACGAUGUUAACGCGAUAACCAUUCCGCCUUGAGAGUACGGUUGCAAUACUGAAACCAAAAAAUAGUCGGUCUCGGAGCAAACGGAGUGAAGCAU